AGUGAACGCUGGCGGUAGGCCUAAUACAUGCAAGUCGAACGGCAGCACAGUAAGAGCUCGCCCUUACGGGUGGCGAGUGGCGGACGGGUGAGGAAUACAUCGGAAUCUACUUUUUCGUGGGGGAUAACGUAGGGAAAGUUACGCUAAUACAGCAUACGACCUACGGGUGAAAGCAGGAGAGAUUCGGACCUUGCGCGAUUGAAUGAGCCGAAGUCGGAUUAGCUAGUUGGCGGGGUAAAGGCCCACCAAGGCAACGAUACGUAGCCGGCCUGAGAGGAUGAUCGGCCACACUGGAACUGAGACACGGUCCAGACUCCUACGGGAGGCAGCAGUGGGGAAUAUUGGACAAUGGGCGCAAGCCUGAUCCAGCCAUACCGCGUGGGUGAUGAAGGCCUUCGGGUUGUAAAGCCCUUUUGUUGGGAAAGAAAAGCAGCAGGUUAAUCCCCCGCUGUUCUGACGGUACCCAAAGAAUAAGCACCGGCUAACUUCGUG
This 492-nucleotide ribosomal RNA is filed under the name uncultured bacterium. RNAcentral's name for it is "partial 16S ribosomal RNA". It matches the Rfam family "Bacterial small subunit ribosomal RNA", at positions 29 to 507 of the family's 1533-position model. The record is from RNAcentral.